RNAcentral lists this ribosomal RNA (296 nucleotides) under uncultured bacterium. Its description in RNAcentral is "partial 16S ribosomal RNA". It matches the Rfam family "Bacterial small subunit ribosomal RNA", at positions 29 to 334 of the family's 1533-position model. The record is from RNAcentral.
AACGAACGCUGGCGGUAUGCUUAAUACAUGCAAGUCGAACGAGAAAGCCCUUCGGGGUGAGUAGAGUGGCGCACGGGUGAGUAACACGUAGGUAACCUGCCUAUCAAUUGGGGAUAACAGAUGGAAACGUCUGCUAAUACCGAAUACGAUCGCAAGAUGAAAGGUGGCUUCGGCUACCGUUGAUAGAGGGGCCUGCGCAGUAUUAGCUUGUUGGUGGGGUAAUGGCCUACCAAGGCAGUGAUACUUAACGGGUCUGAGAGGAUGAUCCGUCACACUGGAACUGAGACACGGUCCAG